CCUACGGGAGGCAGCAGUGGGGAAUAUUGCACAAUGGGGGAAACCCUGAUGCAGCGACGCCGCGUGAAGGAAGAAGUAUUUCGGUAUGUAAACUUCUAUCAGCAGGGAAGAAAAUGACGGUACCUGACUAAGAAGCUACGGCUAAAUACGUUACAACAGCCGCGGUAAUACGUAGGGGGCAAGCGUUAUCCGGAUUUACUGGGUGUAAAGGGAGUGUAGGCGGUGCAGCAAGUCAGAAGUGAAAGCCCGGGGCUUAACUCCGGGACUGCUUUUGAAACUGUUGAACUUGAGUGCAGGAGAGGUAAGUGGAAUUCCUGGUGUAGCGGUGAAAUGCGUAGAUAUUAGGAAGAACACCAGUGGCGAAGGCAGCUUACUGGACUGUAAAUGACGCUGAGGCUCGAAAGCGUGGGGAGCAAACAGGAUUAGAUACCCGUGUAGUC
This 440-nucleotide ribosomal RNA is filed under the name uncultured bacterium. Its description in RNAcentral is "partial 16S ribosomal RNA". It matches the Rfam family "Bacterial small subunit ribosomal RNA", at positions 338 to 795 of the family's 1533-position model. The record is from RNAcentral.